ACUCAAAGGAAUUGACGGGGGGCCGCACAAGCGGUGGAGCGUGUGGUUUAAUUCGACGAUAAGCGAAGAACCUUACCAGGGCUUGACAUCCCGGUCAUAUCUUGUGGAAACACAAGAGUCGGCUAGGCCGGACCGGUGACAGGUGCUGCAUGGUCGUCGUCAGCUCGUGUCGUGAGAUGUUGGGUUAAGUCCCGCAACGAGCGCAACCCUCAUCGUCUGUUGUAUUUUUCAGACGAGACUGCCUGGGUUAACCAGGAGGAAGGCGGGGAUGACGUCAGAUCAGCAUGGCCCUUAUGCCCUGGGCGACACACGCGCUACAAUGGCCGGCACAAUGGGACGCGAAGCCGCGAGGUGGAGCCAAUCCCAUCAAAGCCGGUCUCAGUUCGGAUUGGAGGCUGCAACUCGCCUCCAUGAAGUCGGAAUCGCUAGUAAUCGCGGGUCAGCCAUACCGCGGUGAAUACGUUCUCGGCCCUUGUACACACCGCCCGU
This 489-nucleotide ribosomal RNA is filed under the name uncultured bacterium. RNAcentral describes it as "partial 16S ribosomal RNA". It matches the Rfam family "Bacterial small subunit ribosomal RNA", at positions 899 to 1397 of the family's 1533-position model. The record is from RNAcentral.